RNAcentral lists this ribosomal RNA (467 nucleotides) under Heronidrilus fastigatus. RNAcentral's name for it is "partial 16S ribosomal RNA". It matches the Rfam family "Bacterial large subunit ribosomal RNA", at positions 1843 to 2597 of the family's 2925-position model. Lineage: Eukaryota; Metazoa; Annelida; Clitellata; Tubificida; Naididae. The record is from RNAcentral.
CUAUUAGUGGUACCUCCUGCCCAGUGAUAUAUUCAACGGCCGCGGUAUCCUAACCGUGCAAAGGUAGCAUAAUCAUUUGCCCAUUAAUUGUGGGCUAGUAUGAAAGGAUAAACGAAGUAAGACCUGUCUCCAGUAGACCUAUAAAAACUAAUCUUCAGGUGAAGAAGCCUGAAUUUAAUCACAGGACAAGAAGACCCUAUAGAGCUUUAUUUACCCUAUACACCACAAAGUAUAUAAAAAUUCGGUUGGGGCGACCCGGGAAUACUAAUCCUCCCUAAUAACUAGGACCUACAAGUCCCUCCAUAGAUCCUAUAUUAGAUCACAGAAUCAAGCUACCUUAGGGAUAACAGGCUAAUCCGCCUAAAGAGUCCAUAUCAAUAGGCGGGAUUGGCACCUCGAUGUUGGCUUAGGGCACCUUUAUGAUGCAGCAGUCAUAAAUAGAUGGUUUGUUCAACCAAUAAUACCCU